This 85-nucleotide transfer RNA is filed under the name Rhodoferax sp. RNAcentral's name for it is "tRNA-Leu". It matches the Rfam family "tRNA". Rfam says of the family: Transfer RNA (tRNA) molecules are approximately 80 nucleotides in length. Their secondary structure includes four short double-helical elements and three loops (D, anti-codon, and T loops). Lineage: Bacteria; Pseudomonadati; Pseudomonadota; Betaproteobacteria; Burkholderiales; Comamonadaceae. RNAcentral also lists the same sequence under 2 other names. The record is from RNAcentral.
GCCCGGGUGGCGAAAUCGGUAGACGCAGGGGAUUCAAAAUCCCCCGCCGCAAGGCGUAACGGUUCGAGUCCGUUCCCGGGCACCA